Long non-coding RNA from Hylaeus volcanicus, 2599 nucleotides. RefSeq lists it as uncharacterized. The record is from RefSeq and is a predicted model, not a curated record. The transcript is spliced from 4 exons. NCBI's taxonomy places the organism in Eukaryota, Metazoa, Arthropoda, Insecta, Hymenoptera, Colletidae.
CCGUUAUGGUCGGCAGUGUGGAUUUCCAAAUUGAAACAUAAUGAACCGAAUGUCUGGUGAAUUUGUUACCUAAACAACGCGCAGCAAUCGAUGCCAGUAAUUCGAGGCGUCUCGAAAGCAUGCGACGCUUCUCGUCGGUUCAAAAGCCAGCACAUCGACGCCAGCAUCGGUCCUGAGAUGUCGUAACUUCGUCACCGUUAGGACUGUUGAUAGUUGCAGCAGUAUCGACAACUCAACUUCGACGCUAGGAAGAUCAACCCCCAACGACCCCCGUUCGCCAGGUCGGGAAGGAAACGAGUCAAGAUUCCAGUAUACGCUUUCUCAGGUCUCGACGUUCGCUUCGGGGGUGCUUCGCAACGAUACGGAUCCCUUUGUUCGCGGCACGAGAUGGAAAGGAAGGUUUCAAUAACGUUGCUUCGUCGAACCAUCGGCCGUCUCCGUACGAGCACGAAUAAAUUCCCUGGCCAACUACUGUAUCCAUUACUUUCCUCUUAUCGACGCGCGUCUCUUCGUCGUGAAAGAGCGCGGCACGUGACCAUUCACGAGGUCUCUGACGUCGCCGAAAAGUAAAUAAGCCGUAAAAUAUCGCGUCGUCGGCGGCGCGGGGCGUCGCGGAGCAACGCGACGGGAAGAGGGCGAACUCUGACUGGAUUUCCUUCGAGGGAGGCUCGAUUUUGCCUUCGGGGGGUGCCAUGGUAUCCAUCACGCGAGUCUGUCAAACCCACGUGGGAUAAAUGUUGCUUGUAAGACUUCGUAGACGCGUCGGGUGUUCCGGUUACUUCGCCACUGUCCUGACGGUUCGUGUUAACCCUUUGACUGCGUAAAGGGUUCGCAUAUUUUUAAAGUAACGAUUUCUUUAUCUUGGAAUCGUCCUUAUAAUCUUAUAAUAUAAUAUUUAUUCUUAUAUCUGAAGUUUCAGAUUGAUAUUCUCAUAUUUUGAAUAGUUGAAAAUAAAUAACAUGUAUACUUCUCUUAAAAGGUGGAAAGGUUGUGAACGAACUGGUACCUAUGCAAUUCAAUGACAUAAAACUCUUACUGACUGAGUUAAUUACUGACGAUAAUUUUUUGGCUAUUCUUCUUUAUUCAUUUUAUAUAAUGUUAGAUGAAAGAUACAUCUGUAUUUAUGCAUUCUGCAAUAUUUAUUUGAAUUUAUAUUAUGAAGGGAAUCUUAAAAAAAACAACGUAUUUCGUCGCAUUUCUCAACUUUUGGUUUUAUGCAAUUAAUCAAUUUGUGCAAUGAACGACUCAAAUAUGUAUCAAAAUUCAAGCGUGCCUUUGAAUUUUUCUUAAAAACUGGCGCAAACUCUCCGAGUGUCGUUAAAAUUAUAAAUGUUGCAAUCUGUUUCAACCGAUACGGAGACUCUGUGAAUGGAUGGCAGCGAUGAAGCGCGUAGGACGACGCAAAACUCACGGAGAUGCUAAAUCGAUCUUGUAUCCGAUGGUCGGAGAACAAUCCAAGCAAAACAUGGACCACCCUAACCCUUUCUGAAAUCAGCGUUCGGUAUUGCAAGCGCGAAACUCGUGGACGCGUGAGACUGGCCCCAGUAGAAUAAAUGGAGGAAACAAUAAUUAACACUAUAUCGCUUAGAGAUAUAGUAGUUCUCAGGGAUCGAGGGUACGUUCAACAAAACUAAUUGGAACAAAUUGGGCGGUACUAGCUCACCGAGAACGCCGCUUUCCGUUCGCUUUAUCCUUCUGGCGUUUCUCCUUGUACACAACUUCUCCCCGAAGUGGAAGGAAACAGUUGGAAACAGAGACGUGGGAAUGGAAUUGACGUAUAAAUCCAAGUUCAUCGAGGUGUUAAGGGUUAAACUAUCGAGCAAUAUGAGUCGCGACGCAAGGUGGCCCUCCCUCCCAGAGCAAUUAUUCCAGCCUUGGCGGGUCGAAGAGUCGAUUAAAUCGACGAUACACAACGGAACGGUCCGUUAAACGUACCGUGAGAUUAUUCAAUUAAAACUUCGUUCCACGGUUAAUAAAAUCGUGGAGUCUGGGUAAUUGCGGAGAGAUCUGGAUUAUAAUUUCUGAUGAGGGUGGCCGCUGUUUCCCUCUUCAAAUGCGUUCUUGGGAUCGACAAAUGACGAUCGCUGAUUUGCAUUUAGUCCGGGAAGCGCAAAUGAACAAUGUUUGUCGGAUAAUCGAGUUCGGAAGUCGGUGCUUCAGGGCUGGGUGGGUGCGAGUAUAAAUAUUCAGUGAUCGAAGGGUGCGUUGGCUUGUACAUAUAUUCUAUGAUAUUUACGGAGUGGAUUUUUUAAAAAAUUAUUACAAAACUAAGAAGGUGGGUAAUUCAAUAUCGAAGGGUGAGGAGGUAUAAUUUUUUAAAGGUGCUUCAAUGAAAUUAACUGUGCGAGAUUAGGCAAAACUCGUCCUAAUUUUUAUGUGAUAUGUUAUAAAUUAUAUUCUCUAAAUUAAUAUGUUAAAAGAAGUGGAUAUUCUUUCACAGUAUUUGACAAUAAUAAAAUUCCACGUAUCUCGUAGAACUUAACGCGUUCCCUGUCUAUCAAACUGCACAUGGCACACGUAUUUCUCAAGCCUGUGAUUGUACUAAAUAUAAUACUGUUUCUCUAAUCGGUGACGUAUGUAUGUAUAUAUCGAAACGACU